AUUGAACGCUGGCGGCAUGCCUUACACAUGCAAGUCGAACGGUAACAGGUCUUCGGAUGCUGACGAGUGGCGAACGGGUGAGUAAUACAUCGGAACGUGCCUAGUAGUGGGGGAUAACUACUCGAAAGAGUGGCUAAUACCGCAUGAGAUCUACGGAUGAAAGCAGGGGAUCGCAAGACCUUGUGCUACUAGAGCGGCCGAUGGCAGAUUAGGUAGUUGGUGGGAUAAAAGCUUACCAAGCCGACGAUCUGUAGCUGGUCUGAGAGGACGAGUGGCAACGCUGGAGCUGGAACGCGGCCCAGACUCCUACGGGAGGCAGCAGGGAGGAAUGUAGGGCAAUGGGCGCGAGCCUGAUCCAGCAAUGCUGCGUGCAGGAUGAAGGCCUUCGGGUUGUAAACUGCUUUUGAACGGAACGAAAAGCCCUGGAUUAAUACCCUGGAGUCAUGACGAUACCGUAAGAAUAAGCACCGGCUAACUACGUGCCAGCAGCCGCCGUAA
RNAcentral lists this ribosomal RNA (498 nucleotides) under uncultured bacterium. Its description in RNAcentral is "partial 16S ribosomal RNA". It matches the Rfam family "Bacterial small subunit ribosomal RNA", at positions 30 to 523 of the family's 1533-position model. The record is from RNAcentral.